AUCUGCCCACUGAAAUUUUAAAUGGCUGCAGUAUCAAUAACUGUACAAAGGUAGCAUAAUAAUUAGUUUUUUAAUUAAAAACUAGAAUGAAAGAUUAAAUGAAAUAUAAACUUUAUAAAUAAAAUUAAAUUAAAAUUAAAUUUUAAGUUAAAAUUCUUAAAUAUUAUUAAAAGACGAGAAGACCCUUUAGAAUUUUAUAUUAAUUAAAAUUAAAAUUAUAAUUAUUAAUAAUAUAAAUUUUAAUUAAUAUUUAAUUGGGGUAAUUUUUUAAUUUUAUAAACUUUAAAAUAAUCAAACAUAAAUUAAUGAAUUUAUAAACCUAAAAA
This 326-nucleotide ribosomal RNA is filed under the name Adialytus ambiguus. Its description in RNAcentral is "partial 16S ribosomal RNA". The record is from RNAcentral. Lineage: Eukaryota; Metazoa; Arthropoda; Insecta; Hymenoptera; Braconidae.